UUCGCAAUGCCCGAAAGGGUGACGAAGCGACGCCGCGUGGGUGAGGAAGGCCUUCGGGUUGUAAAGCCCUGUCAGGAGUUAAGAAAUGUAAGUGUGCUAAUAUCGCAUUUACUUGACGAAGGCUCCAAAGGAAGUCACGGCUAACUCUGUGCCAGCAGCCGCGGUAAUACAGAGGUGGCAAGCGUUGUUCGGAAUUAUUGGGCGUAAAGAGCACGUAGGUGGGUUUGUAAGUCAGAUGUGAAAGCCUCCUGUUCAACGGGAGAAUUGCAUCUGAAACUACUGAUCUUGAGUAUAGGAGGGGAGAAUGGAACUUCUGGUGGAGCGGUGAAAUGCGUAGAUAUCAGAAGGAACGCCGGCGGCGAAAGCGAUUCUCUGGCCUAUUACUGACACUCAGUGUGCGAAAGCUAGGGGAGCAAACGGGAUUAGAUACCCCGGUAGUCCUAACCGUAAACGAUGGGCACUAAGUAGAGGGGUUUU
This 477-nucleotide ribosomal RNA is filed under the name uncultured anaerobic ammonium-oxidizing bacterium. Its description in RNAcentral is "bacterial SSU rRNA". It matches the Rfam family "Bacterial small subunit ribosomal RNA", at positions 365 to 832 of the family's 1533-position model. The record is from RNAcentral.